RNAcentral lists this ribosomal RNA (277 nucleotides) under uncultured prokaryote. RNAcentral describes it as "partial 16S ribosomal RNA". It matches the Rfam family "Bacterial small subunit ribosomal RNA", at positions 524 to 801 of the family's 1533-position model. The record is from RNAcentral.
UACGUAGGGGGCUAGCGUUAUCCGAAUUUACUGGGCGUAAAGGGUGCGUAGGUGGUUUCUUAAGUCAGAGGUGAAAGGCUACGGCUCAACCGUAGUAAGCCUUUGAAACUGGGAAACUUGAGUGCAGGAGAGGAGAGUGGAAUUCCUAGUGUAGCGGUGAAAUGCGUAGAGAUUAGGAAGAACACCAGUGGCGAAGGCGAUUCUCUGGACUGUAACUGACGCUGAGGCUCGAAAGCGUGGGGAGCAAACAGGAUUAGAUACCCUGGUAGUCCCUGAG